UUGGAGGGCAAGUCUGGUGCCAGCAGCCGCGGUAAUUCCAGCUCCAAUAGCGUAUAUUAAAGUUGUUGCAGUUAAAAAGCUCGUAGUUGAAUUUCGGGGUUCUACCGUCGGUCGGGCUACCAAGUCUGUACUGGUGUGUAGAAUUUCUACCUUCUGGGGAACCAUCAUGUUAUUAAUUUAGCGUGGUGGGAAACCAGGACCUUUACCUUGAAAAAAUUAGAGUGUUCAAAGCAGGCUUAUGUCUGAAUACAUUAGCAUGGAAUAAUAGAAUAGGACGGUGGUCCUGUUUUGUUGGUUUCUGAAUCACCGUAAUGAUUAAUAGGGAUAGUUGGGGGCAUUAGUAUUCAAUUGUCAGAGGUGAAAUUCUUGGAUUUAUUGAAGACUAACUUCUGCGAAAGCAUUUGCCAAGGAUGUUUUCAUUAAUCAAGAACGAAAGUUAGGGGAUCGAAGACGAUCAGAUACCGUCGUAGUCUUAACCAUAAACUAUGCCGACUAGGGAUCGGACGAUGUUAAAUUUUAUUGACUCGUUCGGCGCCUUACAGGAAACCAAAGUGUUUGGGUUC
This 563-nucleotide ribosomal RNA is filed under the name uncultured Glomeromycotina. Its description in RNAcentral is "SSU rRNA". It matches the Rfam family "Eukaryotic small subunit ribosomal RNA", at positions 548 to 1114 of the family's 1831-position model. The record is from RNAcentral. Lineage: Eukaryota; Fungi; Glomeromycota.